ACUGGUAUAAGCGAAGUACCCAACCUUAACCUUCUCUACUCAAUUUUCAUUCCUUCACGUCUCUCUUUCUUACUGAAACCCUAUCCUCUAUUCACCGAAGUACCAAACUUUCUCAACUUCCGAUUCGAUUCUAUCGAAUCGAAAUCAAUCCCUUUAAACUUUCAAUUCCAGAGGAACUCCUAGUAUGUAUUUCUCUCAGCCAUUUCAAUUUAUCUCUAAAAAUGGAAAAUAGUGAUUUCGGCGAGGCUUAUAAUUGUGUAGAUCCAUAUUGUCUUAAACACAUAUGCUUGAUUCGAUCGUUUCUCUUAAUUACUCUCAAUUUCUUAAAUUUGUUGCCUUCUUUCACAUUGAUUUUCUCUUAAAAACUAGGAUGUGUGCAAUUGUUAAUGGUGCAAACAAAGGAAUUGGGCAUGAGAUUAUUCAAAAAUUGGCCCUUGAAGGUGCGACUCAACAACUAGAGAUGAAAAGAAGAUCAAAGACAAUAUCAUUGCUUGUCAAAUCCGGGUUAUAAAAUUUUUUGCUUUGAUGAUGAUAAUAAUCAGUUGAGUUUGAAUACUAGCUUCCUAUAAAAUCCCUGAGUUUUGGUCAUGCAACUCCUUCUGUUGUAGUUGAUGUAGACAUUGCAUGUUUUGUUGCUGCCAGUUGUAUGCAUAAUUUUACCCUUAUGAAAGUCUUUAUGGAUGACUGUAUUGCAAUAUCACACUUCUUUAUAAUCCUUAAUUUUGAAUAUUCAUUGGACUUUACUUCAGAACGAUUUCCAUGAGGUAUUCUAGGGAAGAUCUUCAGUCUGAAGCAAGUUGAUGGGCUUAAGUUGUCAUUCAAGCUAGAUGGCCGAACUUCCUCUGUGCGUGUUCCAUUCACUCCUCGGUAUCGGUUCAACUUCACUGGUCUUGGUGGCCCCUUUCUCAAAAUGGCGCCAUAUCAAAGCAGUUUACAACAGUAAGGUAUUGCGUGAUGCUGGACCAAGCGGCAUAAUGGUUGUUGAUGUCGUUGUUACUUAGGAAGGUGUUCCAAUUGUCAACCAAUCUAUUGUUGUUACCUGGGAGGUCAAUGGCUUCAGGUAUCUUCUAAGACAAGUAUAUGUCCCGGUGUCUUACCAUCACUGAAUCCUUCUCGUUGGACAGGGUUUAUGCCUUAGUCUUCUCUAAAGAUAAGUUGUAAGUCAAAUGUAUCCACAAGAAAGCAGAGACGAAUCACGAUUUCAACAACUUAAAUUGAAGAUCCGUGACUCCCAGGAUGUUAGGAUCCUGGUACCUCCGUACAUCUGUUGUUAUUUAAGGAGCUUCAGGAAAAGAGCAGUUGCAAGUGUUUAUGUUGAUUCUAGAAAGGGAAAUCCACAAAACAAUGAUGAUUAUGACGAGUUCAGAUGAACAAUGACAAGUUCUAUAGAGAUGAAGUACUUGGAGAUGUUUUAGCAAAUUGAAUUCAGUGUUAGAUUUUGUUUGGAUGUAAUUUUGGGUAGUUAAUGUAGGAUGAAUUUAUCCGUAUUUGUAUAAACGUGAAUUCAUAUUUUAAAUAAAAUUAAGGCAUAUUCAGUUUCAAA
Long non-coding RNA from Papaver somniferum (opium poppy), 1543 nucleotides. RefSeq lists it as uncharacterized. Lineage: Eukaryota; Viridiplantae; Streptophyta; Magnoliopsida; Ranunculales; Papaveraceae. The transcript is spliced from 5 exons. The record is from RefSeq and is a predicted model, not a curated record.